Molecule: ribosomal RNA, 432 nt
Filed under: uncultured bacterium
Lineage: Bacteria
Description: bacterial SSU rRNA
Rfam family: Bacterial small subunit ribosomal RNA
Source: RNAcentral
ACGAACGCUGGCGGCAUGCCUCAUACAUGCAAGUCGAACGCCCCGCAAGGGGAGUGGCGGAAGGGUGAGUAACGCGUAGGAAUCUGCCUUGGAUUGGGGGAUAACCUGGGGAAACUCGGGCUAACACCGCAUAUUGCCGAGAGGUGAAAAAUUUAUUGAUCCAAGAUGAGCCUGCGUAUGAUUAGCUAGUUGGUAGGGUAAUGGCCUACCAAGGCUUCGAUCAUUAGCUGGUCUGAGAGGAUGAUCAGCCACAAUGGAACUGAGACACGGUCCAUACUUCUACGGAAGGCAGCAGUAGGGAAUUUUGCGCAAUGGACGAAAGUCUGACGCAGCAAUGCCGCGUGUAGGAAGAAGCAUCUUGGUGUGUAAACUACUGUCGGUGGGGAAAAACAAAAUGAUUGUACCCGCAAAGGAAGCAUCGGCUAACUACGU